GUCCCAAUCUUCUAAGUGGUUAGGAAAUUUGAUUUUCAUUCAAACAAUACAGGUUCAAGUCCUGUUUGGGAUA
This is a non-coding RNA of Monosiga brevicollis, 73 nucleotides long. The record is from Rfam. NCBI's taxonomy places the organism in Eukaryota, Choanoflagellata, Craspedida, Salpingoecidae.